GCACAGGCCAUGAAGGGGAACAAGUAACCUGUCUGCCAGGCCGCAGAGAGCCGGGGUAGCUGCAAACCGGUGCCGGUAGAGGUGAAAAGGAUCGCCCCGGAGCCGCCCGCUGAAAAUGUCCGGAUGGGCAUUGUGUAGGCCGGGACGGGUUGGUCGACCCGUUAUCAAAGCCGUGUCCUGAUGGGGACACAAAGGGGCUCCUGCCGCGAGGCGGGGGCAAGCAGGGUGGUACCGCGCGAGGAUAAGCCUCUCGUCCCUGGC
Molecule: non-coding RNA, 261 nt
Filed under: Desulfotomaculum sp.
Lineage: Bacteria; Bacillati; Bacillota; Clostridia; Eubacteriales; Desulfotomaculaceae
Description: T-box sequence
Rfam family: T-box leader
About the family: Uncharged tRNA acts as the effector for transcription antitermination of genes in the T-box leader family.
Source: RNAcentral